UUGUACAAUUGAAAUUCAUGAAGCUAUGAUGUGUAUGAGUGUAUUUGAGCUUCUAAGGCUAUAAUGGUUACCUAAGCCUCCGUUUUUGAUGUUUGCUAACCUACAAAAUGUGCACAACAUAUGUUCGAUGAAGCUUUAAGCCUUAAAGAUUCUGUGUACACAUCCUGGGUUACCGAGGGUGAUGAACCUGGUGCAUAUGGUUGUUGUAUCUGUUGCAUUUCAGAGUUGUAAAGUGGUAUUUUGUGAAAUAAUUUUCUGGUAUUUUGUUGAGGGUAUGGGUUUAAGCAUCAGAUUCAGUUGUUGAACAACCGGAUGUCAUGUUGGUCGGUUAACCCAUUGGCCGAUGGGUUAUGAAUGCGAUUGGCUUUUGUAUCGGUUUUUUACACUCUCUUUUGUUGUUGGUUUUACUGGGCGAUGAUGUUGGCACACUACUUGGCGUGGCUAACUGAACUCCGGUUGCAGCCGUAGCGGCCCUGAACCUUACUUUGUUGAUUACGGCGAUGAGGAAAUUUCUGAGCCUAUUUGUUUUCACAUGAUUUGUGGACUAUGGUGUUACAGAUUCUGAAGCUUCAGUAUGUAUGCAGAAGAAGAUUGAAGUUUAGUUUGUGAAAGUAGGGUUCAAGAAAUGGUUAUAUGGUUUUAUUCUUCAUAUGGUUUGGCUGUGGAAGUAGGUGUGAUUUUUUUUUUUCAGUUGUUACUUUUGUACAUGAAGUGGAAUGCAUGUGAAAACAAAUUUCUGGAUAGGUGAUUUAAAUGUAUUUAUAAGUUUUUUUUUUUUAAUUUUGAUAAAUGGUUGUUUUGU
This 802-nucleotide long non-coding RNA is filed under the name Helianthus annuus (common sunflower). Its description in RNAcentral is "hypothetical non coding rna". The record is from RNAcentral. Lineage: Eukaryota; Viridiplantae; Streptophyta; Magnoliopsida; Asterales; Asteraceae.